GAUGAACGCUGGCGGCGUGCCUAAUACAUGCAAGUCGAGCGAACAGAUGAGGAGCUUGCUCCUCUGACGUUAGCGGCGGACGGGUGAGUAACACGUGGAUAACCUACCUAUAAGACUGGGAUAACUUCGGGAAACCGGAGCUAAUACCGGAUAAUAUCUUGAACCGCAUGGUUCAAUAGUGAAAUACGGUUUUGCUGUCACUUAUAGAUGGAUCCGCGCCUCAUUAGCUAGUUGGUAAGGUAACGGCUUACCAAGGCAACGGUGGGUAGCCGACCUGAGGGGGUGGUAGGCCCACGUGGAAUCUGGCAAACGUCCAGAGUACUUAGGGACGGCGGAGGAGGGAAAUGUACGCAACUGGGGGAAAGCUGGAGGAAGCAAGGCGAGGUAGAUGAGGAAGUUCCGCGGUUCGAAAAACUCGUUUAUAGGGAAAAAAAAAUUUGGAAAGUAACAAAGAAGGUUUGAAGGUAACCAAUAAAGAAGCCCCGGGUAAAUACGUG
This 497-nucleotide ribosomal RNA is filed under the name uncultured bacterium. Its description in RNAcentral is "partial 16S ribosomal RNA". It matches the Rfam family "Bacterial small subunit ribosomal RNA", at positions 28 to 507 of the family's 1533-position model. The record is from RNAcentral.